Molecule: long non-coding RNA, 2850 nt
Organism: Nicotiana tabacum (common tobacco)
Lineage: Eukaryota; Viridiplantae; Streptophyta; Magnoliopsida; Solanales; Solanaceae
Source: RefSeq, a predicted model, not a curated record
CAUUUUCCCUCCCUAAAUUUCAUUAAACCCUAUCGGUCCCAUAUUUUUUUUAAGUGGCCUAAUUGUGUUAGUGUUUUAGCCCCCAAAACACCCAAAAUCCCUUAUUCUAUAGGCGCUUCACAAAUAUCGAAACACCCAAGUAUCAGAUAUUACCAUCUCUUCUCCUCCAUCAAUGAGAUAGCCUCCUUCUCCAACACUAGCUCUUCACUCUCUGAUUUUACCAACUGGGUUUUCCUCUAUUGACCUAAAUUGGAUUUUCUUAGGGCUUAUGUUUCUCUUGCCCAAGACUUCUUUUAUCCCAACAGGAAAAAGAAUAACAUUUAUGAAGAUGCAAAAAAGUGGGUUUUUGACUCAAUUCAGAAUGCUUGGAGAAAGUGUAAAAAUCAGUCAAAGAAAGACCAUUUUGAACUCUAUGAGAAUGACGAGCUUCGAAUGGAGAAUAGGAUUACGUGUUGCUCCUAACAUGCUAGCUCUCAAUGCUGUUCACCUGGAGUGACUUCCUCUGCACAACAAGCUGCUAUGCAACUAAACAAUCAUCUAUCUACUAAGAGUAACAAUCAAGGUCAGUACGUACUCCAAAUGUUGCACCCUUUCUUUUCUUUCUUCCUUCUUCUUCUCCUCCUCCUCCUCAUCCUUCUGUUGCUUUUCUACCACUGCUCUGGAUCUAUUCUAUUUUUUUCAUAGGGAAGUUAGUAAGAUGGCUAAGUCUGGUUAGUCUAGUCAUUUUUUAACUUCGCCUCCGGCCCUUUGUCGUUGUGUAUUUCUGUGGUUACCUUAACAACUCUUUGUGGUUGUAUAAUUCUUUGUGUGUUGUUCUGGAUAUUAUAAUCUUGCCUAUUUACUUGUACCAAGAAAGAAAAUUUACCGAAUAUAUAUGUUUCUGGGUUUCUUGUACUGGCAGCUGCUCUCUAUACUAUUUUGGGUGAUAAUUUGGUCUGCAAAGCUGCUAAUAACUGAAUGCAUAUGUUUCUGCAAAGCUGCUAAAAGCUAAAAAAAUUUCUAACGUUAUUGAGUUAGUCUAAGUAUGGUUCGUGUGCCACCUUUUUAUUAAAAUAUUAUUUUUAAGUUGUUUGUAUUCCCUCAAUUUGGCAUUGUUGUGACCUUUAGGUAUUAUGUUUGGAAAUUAUGGGUUGAAGUUGAUAGAUAAGCUGCUCUUAUGUUCAUUAAAGCUUAAUCCCAACUACAGUAGGUUCAUAUCACAACAGUUUUUUUGUUGUAAAUGAAAAUGUAAGUCCAUAGCAAGUUGUAGUUGUGGAAGAUAAUGAAUGACUAUUGUGUUUGUCCAUCUUAUUGAAAGUUUUUAGCACGAUGAAAUAAUUUAUUACCUUAUAUAGCUAUACCUGUUCUUUACUCCCAGUUAAGUGGAACAAGUUCAAGAAUCCAAAAUAUGUCUGAAUUGGUCAUUCAUGUUUGGCUGAAGUGAUAAUGCUCAUUAAAACGUAUGUGUUUUCCCGUAUUAUCAUAAUUCUUUUGGGAAAAUAGAUAACACAGAGCUUCCAUUUUCGUGUUGUCCAUUUUUAGUAUGAUAUGAGCUAUGUUGCAAUAUUUCUUCGAAGUCAAUAUUGAAAAGACCCGUAAAAUUUCUUGCCGAAAAUAAUGUCGAGUAGGUCCCUGUGUUGUUAUAACUGUAGAAAUUCUUGACCUUUUAAGUGAAAAGUACCCCGGAAUACGAAAGAUAAAAUUUUCCAGGAAUAGGGCAUUAUGCAACGUAUUAUGAGAUCGCAUAAUAUGUAUGCGAACCACAUAAUGGUCGCAUACAUGGGCAGGCCACUGCUCAAUUGGAGGACAACUAUGCGGUCCAGAAUGCGAUUGCAUUGUGGUUAUGCGGACCGCAUAGUUGUCGCAUUAUUGCCCAUUGACUUUUGGUGAGGGAGGUUAUGCGAUGCACUAUGCGAUGGCAUAACGUGUAUGCGGACCGCAUAGUGGUCGCAUACCUGCAUAGUGUGUUUUAAUUUUAUGACCGCAUUCCGUGUCGGGGCUCCAAACCCUUCAUUUUAACCCAUCAUUUUAACUCGACCCCUUCUUCAAUAAAACAUCCCAACCCUUCAUUUUAACCCAUUUUCUGAUCAAAAGUAGAGAGGGGGAAGGGAGGAUUCUUGAGAGAGAAAGUCUCAUCUCUAUCAAUUUAAUUUUCAAAGUCACCCAGGCCUGGAAAUUUUGAGUAAUUAUCUUCAUCUUCGCUCUUGCAGGUAAAAUCUCCAACCCUUUUUCAUAGGUUUUUAGAUUUAAACAAAAAGGGGGUUCUCAUUAAUUGAUUCUUUAAAAUAUAAUUUGAACCAUACAUGCAUGUUCUUUAAUAUCUAAAAUCUAGUAAGACGAAUUGGGUAGGAGUAAAAGAUUUGCAAAAAGGAGGGGAUGAUAAUCUAUGUGAGUUCGGGUUGUAUUUGUGAAUUUCAAUUCUAAGAUAUAUGUAUUAACUUGUGAAUUGGAUUGACGGUACUAGGCAGUUCGGUGAAUUGAGAGUAGGAGUUAAAAAAAGGAAAUUCGACUACAGGUGGUUCUAUAGCAGGUACUCCAGUCCACCGACAGUAGCACCUCCUCCACUUUCCGUCAGCUGUAUUGGUCAGCCCCUUUCCUCUCGGGGCCCUGCGUGGCUCAUGUCGCUUUUCCUCUUGAAGUUUUAUUUUGGUAUUUGUGUAAGGUAUAACCGGAGCCUUGUUACCAGCAAGUAUUGUAAAACUCUUUUGUAUCCUUAGAGGCUCCGUAGACAGGAAACAUGGGUUGUGUACUUAUGUAUUUGGGCAGUAUAACUUGUAGAUCACGUAAGGUAAGCAUGUAUGUUAUUAUAUCUCGUAAGAAUGUAUUUAAUUAUAAAUGGCUAUUUCACUUGAAUAAUGAGUAUUGAAAUCA